CAUGUCCUUUAGAUUAUUAUUUAAGGUCUAAUCUGCUCAGUGAUAUUUAAAUAGCCGCAGUAUAUUAACUGUGCAAAGGUAGCAUAAUAAUUAGUUUCUUAAUUAGGAACUAGCAUGAAUGAUUGGACGAGAAAAUUACUGUUUCUAAUUAAUUGUUUAUUGAAUUUUAUUUUUAAGUUAAAAGGCUUAAAUUUUUUUAAAAGACGAGAAGACCCUAUAGAGUUUUAUAUUUUGUGUUAAAUUAAUGUUAGAAUUUUAUUUUAGUAUAAAUUAUUUAGUUGGGGUGAUUUAAAGAUUUGCCGAAUUCUUUAAUUUUUUAGUUAAUGAUUUUUAAUUUUUCUAGGUACUUUGUUAAAUUUAAAUUAAAUUACCUUAGGGAUAACAGCGUAAUUUUUCUUAAAAGUUCUUAUUAAAAGGAAAUUUUGCGACCUCGAUGUUGGAUUAAAAUUUAUUUUAGGUGAAGUAGCUUAAAAAUUAGGUCUGUUCGACCUUUAAAAUUUUACAUGAUCUGAGUUUAGACCGGCGUGAGCCAGGUUAGAUUCUAUCUUUAAAUUUAUUUUUUAUUUUAGUACGAAAGGACCAGGUAAAAGUUAUAUGUUA
Molecule: ribosomal RNA, 600 nt
Filed under: Scarelus similis
Lineage: Eukaryota; Metazoa; Arthropoda; Insecta; Coleoptera; Lycidae
Description: partial 16S ribosomal RNA
Rfam family: Bacterial large subunit ribosomal RNA (bases 378-536)
Source: RNAcentral